This is a long non-coding RNA of Acanthopagrus latus (yellowfin seabream), 466 nucleotides long. RefSeq lists it as uncharacterized. The transcript is spliced from 3 exons. The record is from RefSeq and is a predicted model, not a curated record. NCBI's taxonomy places the organism in Eukaryota, Metazoa, Chordata, Actinopteri, Spariformes, Sparidae.
UUUUGCUUCCAGUUUGGCAGGGCGUUGAACUCAACUCGACUCAUCUCAAGAAGGGUCUGCGAAAACAUGAAGCAGCCGACGGUCCUACCUUGAAGUCCUGGUCGGACAGAUAGUCCUCCAGGCGUAGAGGGUCCACUCCCUCUGGUGGCGGUUUCCUGGUCAGCUCCUCGAUGGAGUACUGCUGCUUACUGAGUUUGGACAGCGCCUCCUUCACUAACAUCACCUUGUUCUUGGAGUGCUCGACCUGCAAGCAAAUGGAACUCAGGUUAACAAAUGCACAGUCUUCACAUGACAGCUCUAAAUAUACAUAUGUGGGGGAGGACACAGAACAGAUCUGGUUGGGUGACAUGAUUUGGAUUCUUUCUGGUGUCGACUCCUCCUGUCUUGUCUGUGACACUGACGCCUCUCCGACACACACUCGGACAGUAAAAACAGAGACAUGAGACAGAAUGACGGACAGCGUAGC